This 460-nucleotide ribosomal RNA is filed under the name uncultured bacterium. RNAcentral describes it as "partial 16S ribosomal RNA". It matches the Rfam family "Bacterial small subunit ribosomal RNA", at positions 338 to 795 of the family's 1533-position model. The record is from RNAcentral.
CCUACGGGUGGCAGCAGUGGGGAAUAUUGCUCAAUGGGCGGAAGGCUGAAGCAGCAAUGCCGCGUGAAGGUCAGUGCCCUAUGGGCGUUAAACUUCUUUUGUGCGGGAGCAAUAUUGGUCACGUGUGACCAGACGCGCGUACCGUCCGAAUACGCGUCGGCUCACUCCUUGCCAGCAGCCGCGGUAAUACGGGGGAGGCAAGCGUUAUCCGGAUUUAUUGGGUUUAAAGGGUGCGUAGGCUGGGAGGUAAGUCAGCGGUGAAAUGCCCCCGCUCAACGGGGUGAAGUGCCAUUGAUACUGCCAUGCUGGAAUGCGGAUGCCGUGAGAGGAAUGUGUGGUGUAGCGGUGAAAUGCAUAGAUAUCACACAGAACACCGAUUGCGAAGGCAUCUCACGAAUCCGCGAUUGACGCUGAGGCACGAAAGCGUGGGUAUCAAACAGGAUUAGAUACCCGUGUAGUC